The sequence is a ribosomal RNA, 454 nucleotides long. It matches the Rfam family "Bacterial small subunit ribosomal RNA", at positions 27 to 506 of the family's 1533-position model.
GGACGAACGCUGGCGGCGUGCCUAAUACAUGCAAGUCGAGCGAGGAGCUUUUAGCUCCUAGCGGCGAACGGGUGAGUAACACGUGGGCAACCUGCCCGUAAGACUGGGAUAACUUCGGGAAACCGGAGCUAAUACCGGAUAAUCUUGAUCUUCGCAUGAAGGACAAGUAAAAGAUUUAUCACUUACGGAUGGGCCCGCGGUGCAUUAGCUUGUUGGUGGGGUAAUGGCCUACCAAGGCGACGAUGCAUAGCCGACCUGAGAGGGUGACCGGCCACACUGGGACUGAGACACGGCCCAGACUCCUACGGGAGGCAGCAGUAGGGAAUUUUCCGCAAUGGGCGAAAGCCUGACGGAGCAACGCCGCGUGAAUGAUGACGGCCUUCGGGUUGUAAAAUUCUGUUCUAAGGGAAGAAGUUCUGACGGUACCUUAGGAGAAAGCCACGGCUAACUACGU